UACGGAGGGUGCAAGCGUUAUCCGGAUUCACUGGGUUUAAAGGGUGCGUAGGCGGAUUAGAAAGUCCGUUGUGAAAUCUCUGAGCUUAACUCGGAAAUUGCGGUGGAUACUAUUAGUCUUGAAUACUGUGGAGGUUAGCGGAAUAUGUCAUGUAGCGGUGAAAUGCAUAGAUAUGACAUAGAACACCAAUUGCGAAGGCAGCUGGCUAGACAGAUAUUGACGCUGAGGCACGAAAGCGUGGGGAUCAAACAGG
This 253-nucleotide ribosomal RNA is filed under the name uncultured bacterium. RNAcentral describes it as "partial 16S ribosomal RNA". It matches the Rfam family "Bacterial small subunit ribosomal RNA", at positions 524 to 776 of the family's 1533-position model. The record is from RNAcentral.